This 783-nucleotide long non-coding RNA is filed under the name Polistes fuscatus (common paper wasp). Its description in RNAcentral is "uncharacterized LOC122516878". The record is from RNAcentral. Lineage: Eukaryota; Metazoa; Arthropoda; Insecta; Hymenoptera; Vespidae.
AAGUGAGAGAUAAAGAAAGAGAGAGAGAGAAAGAGAGAGAGAGAGAAAGAUAAUUCGCGUUGGCGCAAGCGUUGGAGUGGUAGCGUGGAAAAGGUGGAUAGAUAGAGACAGACUAUGCGACGUGUGAGUGAGUGUUAGAACGAGUACAAAAGAAAGAGAGAGAGAGAGAAAGAGGUAGGUGGAUAGAUAGAUAGAUAGAGAGGGUGGGAUGCGAAAAGGAGCCGCACAAACACGAAGAAAAGGACGCAGGCGCCCAGGACGAGCGGGGCGACGCUCGACGACGACGCUGCAUUGGCAGUUGCACUCCAGCCACACCCGGUACGAGCCAUGUAGUCGGGCUACCCUCCACCGCGAUACACGGCGGACAAUUGUUGCUUCUGCGCCCACAGUAAUCAACGACUAACUAGGAAGAACCAAAGAAGAUUUCAAGCUUCCAAGCGAAGCAGUUCCUACUCUUCUAUUAGAACUACGUCCUAAAAACAAGUAAUAAAAGAAACAAAUCAAGAACUAAUUCUAUGGCAAUGAACACGAAGGAAGAAAAUACUCGCAGCUGGUGAAGAAGAAAAAGAAGAAGAAGAAGAAGUAGAAGAAGGACGAAAAGAAGUAGAAGAAGAAGAAGACUCUUUGCUAGAGGGAACUAUCGACCAUACACGUAAGGCGGUACCGUACACACACCGAUAGACAAACACGGCGGACCUGUUGUCCAACUUGUUGCUCGUCCCUGCAAAAGGCACACCCACCCUCUUCGACGCUUGGCGACGUUUUUCGAAAAAAAAAUAGAAA